This is a long non-coding RNA of Oncorhynchus masou masou (cherry salmon), 1743 nucleotides long. RefSeq lists it as uncharacterized. The transcript is spliced from 5 exons. Lineage: Eukaryota; Metazoa; Chordata; Actinopteri; Salmoniformes; Salmonidae. The record is from RefSeq and is a predicted model, not a curated record.
UAAACCCUAACCUGGGCAAAUUGUGCGACUCCCGGUCACGGCCGGUUCUGACAGCCUGGGAUCGAACCCAGGUCUGUAGUGAUGCCUCAAGCACUGCGCUGCAGUGCUUUAGACCGCAGCUCCACUCAGGCGGUCCUUGAUUUAAUAUUUUGUUAUACAAGGGAAUCUCUUCUCUAGCUGCUGUCAAAUCAGUAUAAUAUGGUUUCCUUAAUGCGUUAGCAUUUAAUUAAAUAAUAUUGAUAUCACAUGUUGGAAAAUUAAAUAAUUACAACUUGUGUGAAUCUUUGGAUAAAAAACUAUUUGUGUUCUAUUCUGUUUAUUGGCAGGCCCCUCCAAUGGGUCCCUCAUGAUUGAGUUCCAUAGACGUCAUAUAUUCAUUCAUAUGUUUGUCAUUGGUAAAGGCAGAUAGUCAUCUGCACCAGUAUUUUCCUCUUGAGUUGUACUGUACAAUUCAGUGGAGGCCAGAAGGGGAGGACCAUCCUCCUCAGUGAAUUUCAUAGAGCAUUUUUAUUGUAAAACGUUUAAAAAGUUAUCCCUUUUUAGAUAGAACUAUACUAAGUAUAAUCAUGUCACCAAAUAACUUUUGCAAAGAAGGGCUACAGUAGCCUCAACAGCACUCUGUAGGGUUGCACUGUUGUCGCUGGAGAACAGCUGGCUUCCAUCCUCCUGUGAUGGACAUUUUUAUCUUGUGAAAAGACAUCCUUGAAAAUGUUCAUCUUGUCUUGGUGUCAUAAAUAAUCCUUGGUUCCUGCCUGUGUUUGGUAAAGAUAUGGGGGGGGGGGGACAACAACCUCCUCCUUAGGACGAUCUGGCAGAACGCCCAGAGUAUGUUCUUUAAGUUAAAGAUAGGAGACAGUGCUAGACACAUGCCGGAACCAACCCUAUGAACUAUGCAUCUUUAACAUGUCUGUAACCUGUAUAUAAGGGAUAACGGGACUGCAUUGAGUUGUUUGGAACCUCUCCAGCGCGCUGAUAAUAAAGAAUGAUUCAUUGAAGAUUGACUUUGAGUGUCCCUGUGUAGAAUUUCUACAACUAUUUGGCGUCACAAACAGGAUGAUUGAUUCGGCCUGCAGCGCUUUCCAGUGAGGGUCUGCGAGGAAAACCGGUGGCACAUUUUAUGAAGCGUGAGGGGAAAUUCCUGUCUGACCAAAAGAGGACGCGGAGCCACCCAGACCAGACCCUUACUCUGAGCUGCCCAGGAGGUUUCUUGAAGGUGCCUUAGGAGAGACGUUAUUGAGACUGUGUACUGUGCAGUGUAAAGGUGCCCGCAUCCAGCUGUUGAGGGAGCUCCCAAAUUAAGAGUGCGACAUGAGACCAAUGUGGAGUGAGCAUGGACGAGAUCCCGUCCAACUUCUCUCAUGUACUGGUAGUAAAAUGGACAAAGACAUAAUGGACUGUAAAGGACAGUGGCGACUCAGGAUGCCGGUGGGCGGAGUUGGAGAGGGUCAUCAGCUACAUGGGAAACACCUGGGCCAGGAUGCCGGUGGGCGGAGUUGGAAAGGGUCGUCAGCUACAUGGGAAACACCUGGGCCAGGUGUGUCCCAGGAUAAAUAGACCUCUUCCACAUUCAUGGAGGAGACUCUCUCCAUGCAGACGCCAUUGUAGAUUGUGUUGUGGUUCUUGGUGGCCUUUUGUUUGUUUGUUUGCAUUGGCACCUUUCAAUACCCUGCAUUAUCACAUUCAUGCAUGCAAAACACUCACUUACACUACUGAUUACUGAUUACACGCACCAUUGUAUAUUUU